Mesocricetus auratus (golden hamster) is the source of this 323-nucleotide unclassified non-coding RNA. Its record names the gene 7SK. It matches the Rfam family "7SK RNA". From Rfam's summary of the family: 7SK was discovered as an abundant small nuclear RNA in the mid-70s but a possible function has only recently been suggested. Two independent studies have found that 7SK RNA binds the CDK9/cyclin T complex (known as elongation factor P-TEFb). The record is from Ensembl. Lineage: Eukaryota; Metazoa; Chordata; Mammalia; Rodentia; Cricetidae.
GAAAGAGCUGGGGCAUCUGUCACCCCAUUGAUCUCCAGGGUUGAUUUGGCUGAUCUGGCUGGCUAGGUGGGUGUCCCCUUCCUCCCUCAAAGCUCCAUGUGCGUCCCCCCAGAAGCUGCAUGCUCAGUCGAAGAGGACGACCUUCCCCGAAGACCUUCGGGUCAAGGGUAUACGAGUAGCUGUGCUCCCCUGCUACAACCUGAAACAAGCUCUCAAGAAAAUCAUAGCUUUUUAACUUUCUUAUACUCUGAUACAUGUUCAAAAAUGUAAGAUUUUUGCUUCAAUAGAAAUAACAAACAGUUAUUAGGGAAUUGCCUAUAUCA